GCAGAGCAUCCUACGGGAGGCAGCAGUGGGGAAUAUUGGCACAAUGGGCGCAAGCCUGAUGCAGUCCAUGGCCGCGUGUAUGAAGAAGCCUUCGGGUUGUAAAGUACUUUCAGCUAGUGAGGUAAGGUGGAUAUGUUAAUAGCAUAUUCAUUUGACGUUAGCUGCAGAAGAAGCACCGGCUAACUCCGUGCCAGCAGCCGCGGUAAUACGGAGGGUGCGAGCGUUAAUCGGAAUUACUGGGCGUAAAGCGCAUGCAGGUGGUUUGUUAAGUCAGAUGUGAAAGCCCGGGGCUCUAACCUCGGUAAUUGCAUUUGAAACUGGACAAACUAGAGUACUGUAGAGGGGGUAGAAUUUCAGGUGUAGCGGUGAAAUGCGUAGAGAUCUGAAGGAAUACCGGUGGCGAAGGCGGCCCCCUGGACAGAUACUGACACUCAGAUGCGAAAGCGUGGGGAGCAAACAGGAUUAGAUACCCUGGUAG
RNAcentral lists this ribosomal RNA (478 nucleotides) under uncultured bacterium. Its description in RNAcentral is "bacterial SSU rRNA". It matches the Rfam family "Bacterial small subunit ribosomal RNA", at positions 329 to 793 of the family's 1533-position model. The record is from RNAcentral.